Molecule: RNA transcript, 5511 nt
Organism: Epinephelus moara (kelp grouper)
Lineage: Eukaryota; Metazoa; Chordata; Actinopteri; Perciformes; Serranidae
Gene name: gem-associated protein 4-like
Exons: 7
Source: RefSeq, a predicted model, not a curated record
AGCGCUUUAUACGAAUUGUUGACAUGCUACUGAAAACGUGUGAAAAACGGAUGAAGUUGUCAGAUUUAAUCUGAUUUUAUGAGCUACAGUGCGGUAUAAUGUGCAGUAGUAGUGCUUUAAUGGACUAGAUAGAUUAUUCUGACCGACCCGCUGUGAUACAGCUCAUUUCCGGGUAUUAAAAACCGGACGAACAUUAGCAAACUAACGUUAGCUUAGCUGCAUUUAGAUACAUCCAGCAACUAUGACACUCAAGAUGAACAAAGAAUCAGCUGUUCUUCAGGGUGCUUUCUUCCUGGCUGAUAAACUGUGUCACCCCUCAUCCCUGUCCUCGCUUCAGAAAGCUGACUGGAGCAGGGUGGGACAUCCAGUCCUGGAGGCAGUCAGAGAAAUCUGCGGACAGGAUGAACUCCCAGGUCAUCUCCCCACAACGUCUCUCAGCUGGAUAAAGAAACUAGUUUGUGCUGUGUGGCUGAAGGUGUUGUCCAGGGAGAGUGGAGAGGACGUAGAGAUGGCCUGGAGGGAGAACCCUUUCUUCCCCCUCCAGAACGGCCUCCCUGAGGUCAACCGUGUUGUCCUGCUGGAAAUGGUUAAGUCGUUGGCAGCUGCUCAGAUAUAUGCACAUCUACUCUUGUAUCUUCCUGGAUCUCAGAUCUGUGCUGAGCUCGAACUGUUUGUGCAGCACGUGAGGAGCAGCCCUACCAAAGAGGACGAUGUUCGACUUUUUCUGGAGGUGUGGUGGGAACUGUGGAAAGGCAAAGAUGAGACUGAAGCAGGAGGAGAGGACAGCGUAGAGACGAUGUUUUCCAGACAGUUUGCUCAUCUCUCAUCUAAGUGUUCCAGUCUGUCCCCUCAGGCCGCCAAGAGGCCAAAGCUUGAUGCAUCAGAUCUACCAGCGUCCUCACCAACCACUGAUGUCCUGCACAUUCUCUUUAAUGCACUUAAAGACAUGAAAGAUCACAUAUCUACAACAGACCUUUGCCUCCAGGCCCUCUCCACUUCUCUGGAUGCUCUUUAUACAGCCUUCCUAAUAGACCAAGCAGUCGUACUUCCAACCAAAGAGAAGAUGCACAUCUUGUCUAAAGUUGUGAGCAUCAGAGAAAAGAAUGAUGAGAAACUGAGUCCUGAUCUCAUCCGGGAGGCGCAGCGAGACCUACGUGCAUCUUACACACCAUCUCAGUUUCAGUGCAGCAGGAUGAAGCUGGGUGAAGCCCUGAAGAUUAUAACAGAACUUGCUCAGUUUUGGCAAAACAGCGGGCUCCUGAAAGUGUGUGAUGGCUCUGAUCCGAGUUACUCAGUGUUUAAACUGGAACAAAGUGUACAGAGAGUCCUGACAGCUCUACUGAAAGCACAAGUGUCUGAAACAAUGACUGAAAUCGAUGAUGGAGAGACUGAGAAGAACGCACUCAGAGGUUUGCUGGCGUCACUGGCUUUCCCUGCCACAGAGAGCACCCCUGAGGUGAACACGAGGGUCACCACGUUCAUCAUCAAUCACCGCCUGGAGGACUAUCAGAACUUUGCGGUGUUAUUUGCCAGUGAGAAGAGUUGGGCUGCCUGUGAUGAGCUCUGGAUGGACUGCCUGGAAAAGAACCAAGCAGCCUUCCAGCAGCACGACACACUGAUCAAACUCACCUCCACCCUCAUGAGUAAACUCCACAGUGAGAGAGCUGAUGUGAGCCAGUGCAGGAAGCUGAUGAAAGUCAUCACAGACAUUUUCUCUGCACUUUCCUUGGAAGAGAAGAACAAAGCAUUGGCUGCCAUGUUGAGACUGUCCAGCAGGGGGUUCUUUGGGCGCCCUGUCCCCUCUGCAGUGACUAGUGGGUUUGAGCAGGAGCUCAACAUGGCCUUCAACUGCAUCAUCCAAGGAGGUGGCGCAGCGUCAGCGGUGGCAUCGCAGGGCAAUCUGAACACAGCAGUCUCUUUAGUGGCCAGAGUUGUGUUUCAGAACCCGGAAGCGGCUGUAAGGUCCUGUUGUCAUUCAGCUGUUUUCAAUAAAGGUGCUUUCUCUCUGAUGGCGAAGAUCCUACAGCAGCUGCCUGGACUCAGAGGACAGAGGGAAGGAAAAGAUGAAGCUCAGAGUGAUGAAGACGGAGAGGACGUGCUGAGUGGAAGCGCUCUGCUCUGCAGGUGUCUGCAGGAGAUGAUUAAGACCAAAUCACUGUCUGCCAAUGAAAAAGAUCAGUUCCUCCAGUAUCUCGGUCUGCUGAUGGCGCCUGUCAUGACAGCUGAAGGAGAGGAAGACAAGAAGCAAAGCUUUCUGACACCUCAGGAGGUCGUGAACAUCUUCGUCCUGCCUAACCUUUCCACUGCCAGUCGUCAAAGCUCCUUUGAUAUAGAACUGAGUCUGCAGCUUCUCCACACUGCUUUGUCUGUGGACGUCCAGGAACCAGCCUCAUCUCCUCACUGGGUGUUGGACUGCUCUCCCUUUCCUCUUCUCUACAUCCUGGCCCAGCUGCUCAACCAGACUCUCAGGUGUUGGGAGCAGCCACCAAAGGGCAGCCUCCACCACUGGUCUAUGGACACCAAGGAGCUGCUGGUGUCGGUGCUGACCACACUGGGGCAGGUGUUGGGUGCAGAGGUGGCAGCGGCCCCCAGCAGCUGGUCCAGAGCUCUGUUCUGGCUCUACAACAAAAUGGAGGAACUGGACUGGACCGUUCAUUUCCACCUGAAGCCUGUUUGGGGGGAACACUUUAAAAACGAGGUCCCCUCCUCUCUGCUGACUGUGUGUGAUCUACCUGAGCAGGAGUGGUCCGGCUUGGACCUGCCUCAGUAUGGCCAGGGGACAGGUCUGUUGGCCUGGAUGGAGUGUUGCUCUACAUCAGACUUUCUCCAGUCCACCAUGUUGUCCCGUCUCUCUCUGGACCAGCGUCGGCCCGACCAUGUUGGCAUGUUCAGCAAAGGCCUGCUGGUGGCUGUGACCCAGACCCUGCCCUGGUGCUCCGUGUCCCAGUGGACCAGACUGCUCAGAGUCCUGAGGGAGCUCAUCACCUCAGGCCGCCUGCACAUUCCCUUCUCACUGGAGUACGUGGACUACCUGCCCCUCCUGGACCUGAGGAGGUUUUCAUGUGAGCUCCGCCUGUCUGUCUUCCUGCUGCGAGUCUUCCAGCUGCUCUGCGGCUCCAGCUGCUCUGACUGGUUGUCAGUGGACGGCUGGGCGCACGUUGGCAGGUUGUACGCUCAUGCUGUGAGGGAGAUGAUGAACUCCAUCAGAGCCAAGCUGCCGCUUCCUUCGUCUGGUGCUCUGACUGUCUCUGCUUCUCCUAAAACACCAGCGUCUAGAGACUCCAAUCCGUCCUGCACUUCAAUCAAAGCUCUUAAAACGUCCAAAGACACUCAACAAGCAGAAGGCUGUCCUCAUAAAUCCAAAGAGUCUACUCAACAAGCAGAAGGCUGUCCUCAUAAAUCCAAAGAGUCUCAAAUGGAGGACGAGGUGGAGACAGUUCCCAGCCAAGAAGUCCUUUUUGUGCUCAGCCAGCUCUUCUGCCACGUUCAGCACAUCCAGGUGAUGAUGCCAGGAGGCCAGAGUGAACCCUUGUUCCUGUCCAGUCUGGAGAUCCUCAGCCACUAUGAGGCCAUCAUGGCCGCUUUCCCACACAGCAGCAGCGCGCUGGAGAGCGACAACACCCGUCACUUCUUCUCCACCAUCACAGACAACCUGGAGAACCAGGAGAUGAAGGCCGCCCUGCAGCAGAAGAUCGCUCAGCUUGUGUCGUCUGCUGCUUGAGACUGUAGACUGUAUUAAUAAUGGACAUAGCUACCGUGAUGUCACACAUUGGUUUGCAGCCAUUUUGAAGCCUUGAGUUCUGCAUUUUGGUGGUCGCCAUCUUGGUUUUUUGGAGCCAGAAGUGACCAUAUUUGGGUGAGAGGCUGGAGCUGUGGAGGAGUGAGGGGUGGAGCUCACUGAGAGACUGAAGACACAAUCGGCAGACAGCCUGUCACUCAACCCUAACGUAACUUUGGGCCUUACUUCUGCUGUAAAGUUGGACAUUCUAACACAGGGGUUGAGUCUGUUUUGGAGCCAGCCUCAAGUGGCCGUUCAAUGAACUUGAGUUUUUGGCACUUAUGUUUGGUUUCAUUUUUCAGUCUCAGAGGUCGCCGCUUGAUUAAGACACACAGUUUUUUUUUAUCUGUAUUCACUUAAGAGCUUUGGUUCUCAAAUGCUCAAAUUCUCUCUGUAGAUAUUACGCUAAUUUGCUGAUAAAAUAAGGAUAUUGUUUCUGUUGUCAGUGUCAUAGACUGCAUGAAGAUACUUAAAGAAGUAAUUACAAAAUGGUGGGUGAAUAAAAGGCAGAUAUUUCACAGCAGAUGACCUCCUGUGCUGCUUCAGUAAUAUUCAUUUAUACUCUGAAACCAAAGCCGAACAUCUGUUUCAUCAACAGGAUGCGGUGACUCAGACAGUAUGUUUUCUACAGAACAUUAUCAACAUGUAAUUUUUAAGUUCUUUUUAUUUGUACAAAAAUAUUCUCUGCAUUGCACCAUUUAGUAAAGCUUUAACAACGUACUACAACAGCUGUAACACAACAUUUAAAACAGUUUUGUGACAUUGUAACAGGGGACAAACAAAAUGUAUAGUUAAAGGUGCAGUGUGUAGGAUUUAAGGGAGAUGUUCUUUAGUGUAUAAUCACCUGAAAAUAAGAAUCGUUGUGUUUUUGUUACCUUAGAAUGAGCCGUUUAUAUCUACAUUGGGAGCAGGUCUUUGAUUUAUAGAGAUCACCAUGUUGCACUGCCAUGUUUCUGCAGUAGCCCAGAACGGACAAACAAACACUGGCUCCACAGAGGGCCAUUUGUGUUUUCAUGUCAGCCACUGUAGUAAGAAGCCCAACUGCAGUGAGCAGCACCAAAGUUCCACUGAUUUGUAACAUGAAACUGCUUUAUUCAGUGUUUCUGGUGGUUUAAAUCACCUGGUCUGUUUGUUUUGGAGAAGAAGAGACCUCUGUGGAUAAUUCAGCUCCUGAUAAAAACCUCCUGAACAAUGAACACUGAAGGAAUCCUAACCAGGAGAAGUUUCAGCUGGUUGCAAUCUGUAAUUCUCCGCUAGACGCCACCAAAUCCCCCUAAAUCUCACACACUUCACCUUUUAAAAAAAGCUUCAUAAUAAUGUAGUGCAAAACAAACACUUAACGUCUCUGUAUGAUGAGAUAUUAGGACCACAGUCAGGAGAAAAUAUCUUAGAUUCUGAGAAUACAGUCAAAAAUCUGAAGAAAAGUCUAAAUAUUUUGGGAUAAAGCAGUCAUAAUAAUCUGAAUAUGAAGUUAAAUGUUUGUCGGUGAAAAGUCAAAUAUCGAGGAAAAAAAAGGGGUUCGUAUAUAUGUCAUUUUUUAAGGGGAAAAAGUUGAAAAAGUCACACAAAGAAAAGUCAUAAUGUUUGAGGGGAAAUCAUAAUUGGUAACAAAAAAUAUUGAAAUUUAUGACCAAAAAAAAAACUCCCAAUAAAAAACAAUAUUUUAACAAAAAAAACAAGAAGAGAGAAAAAUACUUGACUCUUGUAUAAUGACUCAAUUUUUUUUUUUUUUU